RNAcentral lists this ribosomal RNA (433 nucleotides) under uncultured bacterium. Its description in RNAcentral is "partial 16S ribosomal RNA". It matches the Rfam family "Bacterial small subunit ribosomal RNA", at positions 29 to 507 of the family's 1533-position model. The record is from RNAcentral.
AGCGAACGCUGGCGGCAGGCUUAACACAUGCAAGUCGAGCGGGCACUUCGGUGUCAGCGGCAGACGGGUGAGUAACACGUGGGAACGUACCCUUUGGUUCGGAAUAACGCUGGGAAACUAGCGCUAAUACCGGAUACGCCCUUUUGGGGAAAGGCUUGCUGCCGAAGGAUCGGCCCGCGUCUGAUUAGCUAGUUGGUGGGGUAAUGGCCUACCAAGGCGACGAUCAGUAGCUGGUCUGAGAGGAUGAUCAGCCACACUGGGACUGAGACACGGCCCAGACUCCUACGGGAGGCAGCAGUGGGGAAUAUUGGACAAUGGGCGCAAGCCUGAUCCAGCCAUGCCGCGUGAGUGAUGAAGGCCUUAGGGUUGUAAAGCUCUUUUGUCCGGGACGAUAAUGACGGUACCGGAAGAAUAAGCCCCGGCUAACCUCGUG